AUGAGGUCGGCCUCUCUGCGUGGCCUUGCGCAGCUAGAGCAGGCUGGAGAUAUGAAGCGAGAAGGAGUUCGCACCAGAAGCCAGACUAAAAAACAAAAAGCUUCCACAAGUAGCCAAGGUAAUUCGCUUCCGGACAAUCCUUUUGAAGAGGAAUUUGGCAGCUUAAGUGAUUCUGGUCAAGGUGUGUGGACGGAACUCAGUAAAGAAGUCGCCUCGAACUUAGCAGGCACUGUUGUAUCGAUUGCUUCAUUCGAUGAUGGAAAUAAUAAACUGUUUUUUGCAUGCACCGGCAUAAUUACCGUGAACACUCCAAAAACUACAAGUUUUCUGACUUCAUUAAGUUUGGUUAGAUCUAUUGAUGACAACAGCAAGAUCUUUCACGACAUGAGGAUUGAAGUGCGCCUUCCAGAUAACAAAAUUGAAUCGGGAUGGUUGCAAUUCUAUGAUUUGAAACACAAUGUCGCUGUUAUCAACAUCAUUCGCUAUCAUUCUCUUCAAGUAGCAUGUCUAGAUCAUCAGCGGCAAAUUGAGUCUCAGAGUAAAGUAGUUGCUGUAGGGCGUUGCUUCAACUCAGGAAAAUUAAUGGCCACAGCUGGGAUGUUGACUGACAAUCCAAGAGGAGCUUACCGCGAGGAGCUUGCCAUCUCCACAUGUGAAAUUACUAUGACUGGAGUUGGAGGGCCCCUUGUUGAUUUUAAUGGGAAUUUCGUUGGGAUGAACUUUUAUGAUGAGAAAGAGACUCCAUUCCUACCAAGGAAUACAAUUCUUGAACUCCUGUCGCAGUUCAGCAAAAUAAUUCCAUGGUGGGCUACAAGUAAAAAUACAAUCAGAAAAUUUCCCAGACCUCACAAGUCUGAUUCACAAGACAGCUCAAAGGGAGGAGAGAAAACUAAGGAUCAGAAACCUUCCAUAUGUACUCUUUGUGAUCCAGAAUGUCAUCCAGGACUCGUGGAUAGAUUAUCAAAGUGGGCGUUCUUAUGUACUCGGUGGCCGAGAUAUCUUGAUUCUGCUGAUGCUACAAAAAAAGAGCUGAGGUCCAGUGGUUAUCCAUUCCCGGUUUGGGACGAUACGGGCAUGCGGUUGCUUAAUAAUUUUGAAGAGGAAUUUAGUGAAGAUAUCUGGAGCGAACUCGAAAGAAGCGUUAAUUCAAAUAUGUCUCAAAGUGUUGUCACAUUGGCUUCAUUCAUUGGAAGAAAAAGGUGUUUUGCUUGCACGGGCGUAUUCAUAGACUGCAAUGGGUCCACCACAAGAGUUCUAACCUCUGCAAGUUUGGUUAGGACUUCUGAUGAUGAAAACACUGUUGCUGAUAACCUGAAGAUUGUAGUGUGCCUUCCAGAUAAUCGACGUACCACAGGGACAUUGCAACAUUACAGUUUACAUUAUAACAUUGCUGUCGUCCACAUCAUGGGUUUCUGCUGUUCUCGGACAGCACAAAUCGACGAUCAGAUGCAAAUUAAGCCUCAGAUGAAGGUAGUAGCUGUAGGGCGUGGCUACAAAUCGGGUAAAUUCAUGGCCACAAGUGGGAUAGUGAUCGACAAACCAAGUAAGCUUGAUUGCAAAGAGCUUAAGAUCUCCACUUGUAAAAUCACCAAGGCUGGGAUUGGAGGGCCUCUUAUUGAUUUUGAUGGAAAUUUAAUUGGCAUGAACUUCUAUGGCUUGAAGAAACUCCAUACGUACCAGUGA
This 1683-nucleotide ribosomal RNA is filed under the name Triticum aestivum (bread wheat). Its description in RNAcentral is "partial small subunit ribosomal RNA". The record is from RNAcentral. Lineage: Eukaryota; Viridiplantae; Streptophyta; Magnoliopsida; Poales; Poaceae.